This 440-nucleotide ribosomal RNA is filed under the name uncultured bacterium. RNAcentral's name for it is "partial 16S ribosomal RNA". It matches the Rfam family "Bacterial small subunit ribosomal RNA", at positions 338 to 795 of the family's 1533-position model. The record is from RNAcentral.
CCUACGGGUGGCAGAAGUGGGGAAUAUUGCACAAUGGGGGGAACCCUGAUGCAGCGACGCCGCGUGAGCGAUGAAGUAUUUCGGUAUGUAAAGCUCUAUCAGCAGGGAAGAAAAUGACGGUACCUGACUAAGAAGCCCCGGCUAACUACGUGCCAGCAGCCGCGGUAAUACGUAGGGGGCAAGCGUUAUCCGGAUUUACUGGGUGUAAAGGGAGCGUAGACGGCUGUGCAAGUCUGGAGUGAAAGGCAUGGGCUCAACCUGUGGACUGCUUUGGAAACUGUGCGGCUUGAGUGUCGGAGAGGCAAGUGGAAUUCCUAGUGUAGCGGUGAAAUGCGUAGAUAUCACGAAGAACUCCGAUUGCGAAGGCAGCUUACUAAACUGCCACUGACAUUGAUGCUCGAAAGUGUGGGUAUCAAACAGGAUUAGAUACCCUGGUAGUC